Molecule: unclassified non-coding RNA, 425 nt
Filed under: fungal sp.
Lineage: Eukaryota; Fungi
Description: partial internal transcribed spacer region
Rfam family: Eukaryotic small subunit ribosomal RNA (bases 1-46)
Source: RNAcentral
AAGUCGUAACAAGGUUUCCGUAGGUGAACCUGCGGAAGGAUCAUUAACACGUUAUCCACGUAUCAUCACAGAGAAUCGUUAUUCACUCCCUCCGUUUCAUACCGAACAGCAGCAGAUAGCCCGAAGGGAUGACGCUUGAUCGAAAGGUCGCGUAAGGACUAUUUGUUAUUCCAAGCUGACGGGCUGCCUGCUUUUGGCAGGUGGCUCCGAGUGCUAGUACUGUUGUAAUUUGACUCGUGGAGGACCACUCUCGCUGCAGUAACACUUCACCCUGUGGUAAGGCAGCGAAAACUUAUUAACAAAUUUUAACCACAAUUUUGCUAGUUGACUUUUAAUAUGUUGUGCUUUGCUUCGGCAAUGGUACACACGUUUAAAUUAUUUGAACGUUAAAAAUACAACUCUUAGCAAUGGAUAUCUAGGUUCUC